RNAcentral lists this RNase P RNA (345 nucleotides) under Ectothiorhodospiraceae bacterium BW-2. RNAcentral's name for it is "gamma proteobacterium BW-2 Bacterial RNase P class A". It matches the Rfam family "Bacterial RNase P class A". Rfam says of the family: Ribonuclease P (RNase P) is a ubiquitous endoribonuclease, found in archaea, bacteria and eukarya as well as chloroplasts and mitochondria. Its best characterised activity is the generation of mature 5'-ends of tRNAs by cleaving the 5'-leader elements of precursor-tRNAs. Cellular RNase Ps are ribonucleoproteins. The record is from Rfam by way of RNAcentral. Lineage: Bacteria; Pseudomonadati; Pseudomonadota; Gammaproteobacteria; Chromatiales; Ectothiorhodospiraceae.
GAAGUCAGCCAGACAACCGCUCUGCCUUAACAACAGGGAGGAAAGUCCGGGCUCCACAGGGUAGGAUGCCAGGUAACGCCUGGGCGGCGUGAGCCGACGGAAAGUGCCGCAGAAAACAGACCGCCGCCUGAUAGUUUAGGCGGUAAGGGUGAAAAGGUGCGGUAAGAGCGCACCGCGCUAUGAGUAAUCGUAGUGGCAGGGUAAACCCCAUCCGGAGCAAGAUCAAAUAGAGGGCGAUAGUGUGGCCCGCACUGUCCUCGGGUAGAUCGCACGAGGGUCGUGGUGACACGGCUCCUAGAUGAAUGGUUGUCCUCGACAGAACCCGGCUUAUGGCUGACUUCACCU